Molecule: ribosomal RNA, 392 nt
Filed under: uncultured bacterium
Lineage: Bacteria
Description: bacterial SSU rRNA
Rfam family: Bacterial small subunit ribosomal RNA
Source: RNAcentral
UGUAAGCGGGGAAUAACCCGUUGAAAGACGGACUAAUACCGCACUAAUACUAAAUUACUGCAUGGUAAUUAUUUAAACAUUUAUGGCUUACAGAUGGGCAUGCGCAUGAUUAGCGUAGUUGGAGAGGUAACGGCUCCCCCAAGGCAACGAUCAUUAGGGGUUCUGAGAGGAAGGUCCCCCACACUGGUACUGAGACACGGACCAGACUCCUACGGGAGGCAGCAGUGAGGAAUAUUGGUCAAUGGACGAGAGUCUGAACCAGCCAAGUCGCGUGCAGGAAGAAUGUCCCUAUGGAUUGUAAACUGCUUUUGCAGGGGAAUAAAGUGCAUCACGUGUGAUGUUUUGUAUGUACUCUGCGAAUAAGGAUCGGCUAACUCCGUGCCAGCCGCAGC